This 329-nucleotide ribosomal RNA is filed under the name Sphingomonas sp. STM 397. Its description in RNAcentral is "bacterial SSU rRNA". It matches the Rfam family "Bacterial small subunit ribosomal RNA", at positions 31 to 388 of the family's 1533-position model. Lineage: Bacteria; Pseudomonadati; Pseudomonadota; Alphaproteobacteria; Sphingomonadales; Sphingomonadaceae. The record is from RNAcentral.
GAACGCUGGCGGCAUGCCUAACACAUGCAAGUCGAACGAGACCUUCGGGUCUAGUGGCGCACGGGUGCGUAACACGUGGGAAUCUGCCCUUGGGUUCGGAAUAACAGUUGGAAACGACUGCUAAUACCGGAUGAUGACGUAAGUCCAAAGAUUUAUCGCCCAAGGGAUGAGCCCGCGUCGGAUUAGCUAGUUGGUGGGGUAAAGGCCUACCAAGGCGACGAUCCGUAGCUGGUCUGAGAGGAUGAUCAGCCACACUGGGACUGAGACACGGCCCAACUCCUACGGGAGGCAGCAGUGGGGAAUAUUGGACAAUGGGCGAAAGCCUGAUC